GCGGGAAUAGCUCAGCUGGUAGAGCGUUACAUUGCCAAUGUAAAGGUCGCGAGUUCAAAUCUCGUUUCCCGCU
Candidatus Beckwithbacteria bacterium CG2_30_44_31 is the source of this 73-nucleotide non-coding RNA. The record is from Rfam. NCBI's taxonomy places the organism in Bacteria, Candidatus Beckwithiibacteriota.